Molecule: ribosomal RNA, 265 nt
Filed under: uncultured bacterium
Lineage: Bacteria
Description: partial 16S ribosomal RNA
Rfam family: Bacterial small subunit ribosomal RNA
Source: RNAcentral
UUCGAGUGGCGGACGGGUGAGUAACGCGUGGGUAACCUGCCUUACACAGGGGGAGUAACACCUGGAAACAGGUGCUAAUACCGCAUAAGCGCACAGGGCCGCAUGGCCCGGUGUGAAAAACUCCGGUGGUGUAAGAUGGACCCGCGUCUGAUUAGCUUGUUGGCGGGGUAGGGGCCCACCAAGGCGACGAUCAGUAGCCGGCCUGAGAGGGUGGACGGCCACAUUGGGACUGAGACACGGCCCAAACUCCUACGGAAGGCAGCAG